Macaca fascicularis (crab-eating macaque) is the source of this 117-nucleotide unclassified non-coding RNA. It matches the Rfam family "Metazoan signal recognition particle RNA". Rfam says of the family: The signal recognition particle (SRP) is a universally conserved ribonucleoprotein. It is involved in the co-translational targeting of proteins to membranes. The record is from Ensembl. Lineage: Eukaryota; Metazoa; Chordata; Mammalia; Primates; Cercopithecidae.
GCUGGGUGUGGUGGCUCACACCUGUAAUCCUAGCACUCUGGGAGGCCGAGGCGGGAGGAUUGCCUGAGGUCAGGAGUUUCAGACCAGCCUGGCCAACAUGGUAAAACCCUGUCUCUA